AAUAGAUACCCCGGUAGUCCACGCCGUAAACGAUGUCGACUUGGAGGUUGUGCCCUUGAGGCGUGGCUUCCGGAGCUAACGCGUUAAGUCGACCGCCUGGGGAGUACGGCCGCAAGGUUAAAACUCAAAUGAAUUGACGGGGGCCCGCACAAGCGGUGGAGCAUGUGGUUUAAUUCGAUGCAACGCGAAGAACCUUACCUACUCUUGACAUCCAGAGAACUUAGCAGAGAUGCUUUGGUGCCUUCGGGAACUCUGAGACAGGUGCUGCAUGGCUGUCGUCAGCUCGUGUUGUGAAAUGUUGGGUUAAGUCCCGCAACGAGCGCAACCCUUAUCCUUUGUUGCCAGCGGUUAGGCCGGGAACUCAAAGGAGACUGCCAGUGAUAAACUGGAGGAAGGUGGGGAUGACGUCAAGUCAUCAUGGCCCUUACGAGUAGGGCUACACACGUGCUACAAUGGCAUAUACAAAGAGAAGCGACCUCGCGAGAGCAAGCGGACCUCAUAAAGUAUGUCGUAGUCCGGAUUGGAGU
RNAcentral lists this ribosomal RNA (527 nucleotides) under uncultured bacterium. Its description in RNAcentral is "bacterial SSU rRNA". It matches the Rfam family "Bacterial small subunit ribosomal RNA", at positions 777 to 1304 of the family's 1533-position model. The record is from RNAcentral.